CUCUCUUUUUCACCAUUCGAUUGAUCUCAAAAUUCUUUAUACAUAGAAAAAUAAGUCUAAUAUCCUCUCACAUAAAUUUCACUCCAAUCCAACUAAUAGAUUGCAAGAAAUCUUAAAAAUCCUCACUGGACCUAAAAUUCUACUUUUUGAGACCUUGACCCACUUAAACCUCAAUAAUCUGUAAUUCAACCAUUAGAUCGAGCUCAAAUUUACAACACAUAUUAAACACAACUAUAAACAUGAACCUACAAAAUUUCAUUUGUAGAUCUAUUACAAAACUAUUGAAAUCACC
This 292-nucleotide long non-coding RNA is filed under the name Physcomitrium patens. RNAcentral's name for it is "long non-coding RNA (PPAT_LNC007518)". Lineage: Eukaryota; Viridiplantae; Streptophyta; Bryopsida; Funariales; Funariaceae. The record is from RNAcentral.